ACAAACUUGGUCAUUUAGAGGAAGUAAAAGUCGUAACAAGGUUUCCGUAGGUGAACCUGCGGAAGGAUCAUCACAGUGAUCGGGGGAGGUGUGUGUGUGCGCGUGCGAGCGCGCGCCACACGCCGCCCCACCCAAUCUUUUGUGCACGGUUUCACGGUCAACGAGGCGCCGCGUGUGUGUUGGCAGGUCCCAGUGGCUUGCCAACCGCAUGCGCGCGCGUUCUCUCUUGCAAUCUCUUGUGCAAUCUCUGUCUAACGUGUUACCACUCAAUAACAAUACAACUUUCAACAAUGGAUCUCUUGGCUCUCGCAUCGAUGAAGAACGCAGC
This 328-nucleotide unclassified non-coding RNA is filed under the name uncultured fungus. RNAcentral describes it as "partial contains small subunit ribosomal RNA, internal transcribed spacer 1, and 5.8S ribosomal RNA". The stretch from base 1 to 73 matches the Rfam family "Eukaryotic small subunit ribosomal RNA", at positions 1759 to 1831 of the family's 1831-position model. The record is from RNAcentral. Lineage: Eukaryota; Fungi.